RNAcentral lists this ribosomal RNA (253 nucleotides) under uncultured bacterium. RNAcentral describes it as "partial 16S ribosomal RNA". It matches the Rfam family "Bacterial small subunit ribosomal RNA", at positions 524 to 776 of the family's 1533-position model. The record is from RNAcentral.
UACGGAGGGUGCGAGCGUUGUCCGGAAUCACUGGGCGUAAAGGGCGCGUAGGCGGCGCGGGUAGUCAUCGGUGAAAGUUCAGGGCUCAACUCUGAAUCGGCCGGUGAUACUCCCGUGCUCGAGCACUGUAGAGGCAGGUGGAAUUCCGGGUGUAGCGGUGGAAUGCGUAGAGAUCCGGAAGAACACCGGUGGCGAAGGCGGCGCUCUGGACCGAGACUGACGCUGAGGCGCGAAAGCGUGGGGAGCAAACAGG